UACGUAGGGUGCAAGCGUUGUUCGGAAUCACUGGGCGUAAAGCGCGCGUAGGCGGCGUUCCAAGUCGGAUGUGAAAUCCCCGGGCUCAACCCGGGAACUGCGUCCGAUACUGGAAGGCUUGAAUCCGGGAGAGGGAUGUGGAAUUCCAGGUGUAGCGGUGAAAUGCGUAGAUAUCUGGAGGAACACCGGUGGCGAAGGCGACAUCCUGGACCGGUAUUGACGCUGAGGCGCGAAAGCCAGGGGAGCAAACGGG
This 253-nucleotide ribosomal RNA is filed under the name uncultured bacterium. RNAcentral describes it as "partial 16S ribosomal RNA". It matches the Rfam family "Bacterial small subunit ribosomal RNA", at positions 524 to 776 of the family's 1533-position model. The record is from RNAcentral.